This 64-nucleotide transfer RNA is filed under the name Anthrenus verbasci (variegated carpet beetle). RNAcentral describes it as "tRNA-Asn". The record is from RNAcentral. RNAcentral also lists the same sequence under 1 other name. Lineage: Eukaryota; Metazoa; Arthropoda; Insecta; Coleoptera; Dermestidae.
UUAAUUGAAACCAAAAAGAGGUAUAUCACUGUUAAUGAUAUCAUUAGGAAAAUCCUCAAUUAAA